GAUUACGGCCACACCUCCCUGGUCACGCCCGAUCUCGUCUGAUCUCGGAAGCUAUGCAGGGUCGGGCCGAUUAGUACUUGGAUGACUGAGACCGCCUGGGAAUACCAGGUGCUGUAAGCC
This 120-nucleotide ribosomal RNA is filed under the name Esox lucius (northern pike). Lineage: Eukaryota; Metazoa; Chordata; Actinopteri; Esociformes; Esocidae. The record is from RNAcentral.